Molecule: transfer RNA, 75 nt
Filed under: bacterium
Lineage: Bacteria
Description: tRNA-Pro
Rfam family: tRNA
About the family: Transfer RNA (tRNA) molecules are approximately 80 nucleotides in length. Their secondary structure includes four short double-helical elements and three loops (D, anti-codon, and T loops). Further hydrogen bonds mediate the characteristic L-shaped molecular structure. tRNAs have two regions of fundamental functional importance: the anti-codon, which is responsible for specific mRNA codon recognition, and the 3' end, to which the tRNAs corresponding amino acid is attached (by aminoacyl-tRNA synthetases). tRNAs cope with the degeneracy of the genetic code in two manners: having more than one tRNA (with a specific anti-codon) for a particular amino acid; and 'wobble' base-pairing, i.e. permitting non-standard base-pairing at the 3rd anti-codon position.
Source: RNAcentral
CCGUGCGUUGGCUAGUCUGGUUAAGCCACUGGUCUUGGGGUCCAGUUUACGAGGGUUCGAAUCCUUCCGCACGGA